UGCUAUCUUGUCAAGUUCAGCACUAUCCCCUUCCGUGGUGGGGCUGACCUGUAUGGCUGCCAAAAGACUAUCUGUAGCUCAUGGGCCUCGCGUGUCUCUAGGCACUGGAAAUAAACAAGACAGUGAGUG
Molecule: small nucleolar RNA, 129 nt
Organism: Alligator mississippiensis (American alligator)
Lineage: Eukaryota; Metazoa; Chordata; Crocodylia; Alligatoridae
Rfam family: Small nucleolar RNA SNORA5
About the family: ACA5 is a member of the H/ACA class of snoRNA that guide the sites of modification of uridines to pseudouridines.
Source: Rfam